RNAcentral lists this microRNA (21 nucleotides) under Gossypium raimondii (Peruvian cotton). Its description in RNAcentral is "gra-miR172a". Its record names the gene gra-miR172a. Lineage: Eukaryota; Viridiplantae; Streptophyta; Magnoliopsida; Malvales; Malvaceae. The record is from miRBase by way of RNAcentral.
GCGGCAUUAUCAAGAUUCACA